This 492-nucleotide ribosomal RNA is filed under the name uncultured bacterium. RNAcentral describes it as "partial 16S ribosomal RNA". It matches the Rfam family "Bacterial small subunit ribosomal RNA", at positions 29 to 507 of the family's 1533-position model. The record is from RNAcentral.
AGUGAACGCUGGCGGUAGGCCUAACACAUGCAAGUCGAACGGCAGCACAGUAAGAGCUUGCUCUUACGGGUGGCGAGUGGCGGACGGGUGAGGAAUACAUCGGAAUCUACUUUUUCGUGGGGGAUAACGUAGGGAAACUUACGCUAAUACCGCAUACGACCUACGGGUGAAAGCAGGGGAUCUUCGGACCUUGCGCGAUUGAAUGAGCCGAUGUCGGAUUAGCUAGUUGGCGGGGUAAAGGCCCACCAAGGCGACGAUCCGUAGCUGGUCUGAGUGGAUGGUCAGCCACACUGGAACUGGAACACGGUCCAGACUACUACGGGAGGCAGCAGUGGGGAAUAUUGGACAAUGGGCGCAAGCCUGAUCCAGCCAUACCGCGUGGGUGAAGAAGGCCUUCGGGUUGUAAAGCCCUUUUGUUGGGAAAGAAAAGCAGCAGGUUAAUACCCCGCUGUUCUGACGGUACCCAAAGAAUAAGCACCGGCUAACUUCGUG